GAAAUGCGAUAAGUAAUGUGAAUUGCAGAAUUCAGUGAAUCAUCGAAUCUUUGAACGCACAUUGCGCCCUUUGGCAUUCCGAAGGGCAUGCCUGUUCGAGCGUCAUUACACCAAUCAAGCCUGGCUUGGUAUUGGGCGACGGGGUCGGUCGAACCACCCCCCGCCCCAAAGACCUCUCCGGCGGGACGGACCGAAUCUCAGCGUUGUGCAAACGUGUCGCUGGCGAGACGGGACGGCCGUGCCGGUAAACCCCAUUUUCUUCAAGGUUGACCUCGGAUCAGGUAGGGAUACCCGCUGAACUUAAGC
Molecule: unclassified non-coding RNA, 306 nt
Filed under: plant metagenome
Description: partial contains 5.8S ribosomal RNA, internal transcribed spacer 2, and large subunit ribosomal RNA
Rfam family: 5.8S ribosomal RNA (bases 1-105)
Source: RNAcentral